This 68-nucleotide ribosomal RNA is filed under the name Verrucaria elaeomelaena. RNAcentral describes it as "partial 28S large subunit ribosomal RNA". Lineage: Eukaryota; Fungi; Ascomycota; Eurotiomycetes; Verrucariales; Verrucariaceae. The record is from RNAcentral.
UCGGGCUUGGUCGUAACUAAUCUUCUCUGGUUGACCUCGGAUCAGGUAGGGAUACCCGCUGAACUUAA